UUGCUGUUAUUUUACGUCAAAAUUUCAACAGUAUAAUCCUGUUAUGUCUAAAAACAGGGCAUUAAUGUUUUUUCAUGGAGGUUAGAAUGACGUAAACAAACUUUAACAUUAUUUCGCCGUAUUUAUUUCACAAAGGAUAAAAAACAGGUAUGUACAGUAUUUUUAGAAAUCGAGAACUGCAGCGAGCACAUGUGGAUGGUUAUCGUCUUCAUUCUCCGAGUUAAUAGGUGAGUGCCAGUUUGCUUUGCUCAUUAUAGACUAAAUAUAAGUUUGCAAUUGCAAAUAGUUUGUAAAACUAAAUAAUUUGUAAAAACAUACUAAUUGUGGAUGCUGUGAAUUGUAACUCUUUUAUACGCUUGUUUCAGGGAUUAACGUGCGCCGACGUCAUUGUGAAGCGGAGUUGAAUUUCUGAUUAAGAUAUUUUCCGAUUACAGGAGCAAUGAACACUGUGCUUGAAGACCUGAGGGGCAUCAUCCUCAGAACUUUGCCAACAAUAUCCAAAGACACUCAACAGGCAUUGAUGGAUAAACUGCUAAACUCUGGACUGGAAUCUACACAAGACCUUAAAUAUGUGACUCAAGAAGAUAUUACUGACCUACUGCCAGCCAUUCAACUACGGAAGCUUCUGGAAGCAUUUAAAAAAGAGACAGAGGUGGUCACUUUGGACCUAGAAAUACUUCCUUCCCC
Long non-coding RNA from Triplophysa rosa, 687 nucleotides. RefSeq lists it as uncharacterized. The record is from RefSeq and is a predicted model, not a curated record. The transcript is spliced from 3 exons. Lineage: Eukaryota; Metazoa; Chordata; Actinopteri; Cypriniformes; Nemacheilidae.